CUACGGGAGGCUCCAGUGGGGAAUAUUGCACAAUGGGGGAAACCCUGAUGCAGCGACGCCGCGUGAAGGAUGAAGGUCUUCGGAUCGUAAACUUCUAUCAGCAGGGAAGAAACAAAUGACGGUACCUGACUAAGAAGCUCCGGCUAACUACGUGCCAGCAGCCGCGGUAAUACGUAGGGAGCGAGCGUUAUCCGGAUUUACUGGGUGUAAAGGGUGCGUAGGCGGCCUGGUAAGUUAGAAGUGAAAUUUUGGGGCUCAACCCCAGAGCUGCUUCUAAAACUGCUGGGCUAGAGUGCAGGAGAGGAAAGCGGAACUCCACGUGUAGCGGUGAUAUGCGUAGAGAUGUGGAGGAACACCAGUAGCGAAGGCGGCUUUCUGGACUGUAACUGACGCUGAGGCACGAAAGCGUGGGGAGCAAACAGGAUUAGAUACCCGAGUAGUC
RNAcentral lists this ribosomal RNA (442 nucleotides) under uncultured bacterium. RNAcentral describes it as "partial 16S ribosomal RNA". It matches the Rfam family "Bacterial small subunit ribosomal RNA", at positions 339 to 795 of the family's 1533-position model. The record is from RNAcentral.